GACAGAGGUGCCAAGCGUUAGGCGGAAUCACUGGGCUUAAAGCGUGUGUAGGCGGGCGAUCAAGAACCUUGUGAAAUCCCACGGCUCAACCGUGGAACUGCUGGGUAUACUGGUUGUCUUGAGCCAGCUAGGGGCGAGCGGAACAGACGGUGGAGCGGUGAAAUGCGUAGAUAUCGUCUGGAACGCCGAAGGUGAAAACAGCUCGCUGGGGCUGCGCUGACGCUGAGACACGAAAGCCAGGGGAGCGAACGGG
Molecule: ribosomal RNA, 253 nt
Filed under: uncultured bacterium
Lineage: Bacteria
Description: partial 16S ribosomal RNA
Rfam family: Bacterial small subunit ribosomal RNA
Source: RNAcentral